UGGGGAAUCUUAGACAAUGGGCGAAAGCCUGAUCUAGCGAUGCCGCGUGAGUGAUGAAGGUCUUAGGAUCGUAAAGCUCUUUCGCCAGAGAUGAUAAUGACAGUAUCUGGUAAAGAAACCCCGGCUAACUCCGUGCCAGCAGCCGCGGUAAUACGGAGGGGGUUAGCGUUGUUCGGAAUUACUGGGCGUAAAGCGCACGUAGGCGGAUUUUUAAGUUAGAGGUGAAAUCCCACGGCUCAACCGUGGAACUGCCUUUAAUACUGGAAGUCUAGAGUUCGAGAGAGGUGAGUGGAAUUCCGAGUGUAGAGGUGAAAUUCGUAGAUAUUCGGAGGAACACCAGUGGCGAAGGCGGCUCACUGGCUCGAUACUGACGCUGAGGUGCGAAAGCGUGGGGAGCAAACA
This 402-nucleotide ribosomal RNA is filed under the name uncultured Alphaproteobacteria bacterium. RNAcentral's name for it is "bacterial SSU rRNA". It matches the Rfam family "Bacterial small subunit ribosomal RNA", at positions 355 to 774 of the family's 1533-position model. The record is from RNAcentral. Lineage: Bacteria; Pseudomonadati; Pseudomonadota; Alphaproteobacteria.